This 72-nucleotide transfer RNA is filed under the name Pleuronectes platessa (European plaice). RNAcentral describes it as "tRNA-Leu". It matches the Rfam family "tRNA". From Rfam's summary of the family: Transfer RNA (tRNA) molecules are approximately 80 nucleotides in length. The record is from RNAcentral. Lineage: Eukaryota; Metazoa; Chordata; Actinopteri; Pleuronectiformes; Pleuronectidae.
GGACCAUGUACAGUUGGUUAAAGCGCCUGUCUAGUAAACAGGAGAUCCUGGGUUCAAAUCCCAGCAGUGCCU